GGGAUCCCGGCCCCGCGGGGUCGGGCGCACCACCGGCCCGUCUCGCCCGCACCGUCAGGGAGGUGGAGCGUGAGCGCCGUGCGAUAGGACCCGAAAGAUGGUGAACUAUGCCUGGGCAGGGC
RNAcentral lists this ribosomal RNA (122 nucleotides) under Beryx splendens (splendid alfonsino). Its description in RNAcentral is "partial 28S ribosomal RNA". The record is from RNAcentral. Lineage: Eukaryota; Metazoa; Chordata; Actinopteri; Beryciformes; Berycidae.